AGUGCCACAUGCUCCCUGUGGAGCUGAUACUGGGUAUUUUCAGUAUUUUCCAAGAAAAUUUUGCUGAUGUGGGUCCCCCUUUGUUAUUUGCAGGGAAGUAUUUAAGGCACCAUGGCGAAAUAGAGGCAGUUCUUCAAGUGAGCCAUAUCCAAAUUGGAUGGACUGGCAUUUCUGUCUAUGGAAUACUGAUCUUAAAAUUUCUUGGUGCUUUUGGAGGGAUUUAGGUGAAACACACUUAUAUUGAGUAACUUGGGCAGCAGUGAUAGGACAAUCAAGAUCCCAGCAAGGAAAGAAAGGCAACCAAAUGCCCCUGUAAGAGGUUUUGAUGAGCAAAAGGAGAUGCUAGGACCCGAGGCAAACUUCCUCCUUUUCCUUCUCCGCUAUGAACCUCGAAAGAAGUCAAAAGAGUGACCUUGGGUUUAUAUCUCUGAUGGCAAGAACAAGAUCUGCCUGAAAGCGAGAUUAAAAAAAUUUGCACUGUAAGGACAAACAGGUUGCUCCUAUAAAAUUCUCAACAUACAACAAAUUGGGUUGUAAAGCAGGUACUGCUAAAUCGCAUCUUUUAAGUAACAGAAAGCUUAUGAAGUCACAGCACUCACACCCUUGCUUCUUUGUUAUUCUGUAUCUUUUUCUUACUGUAAAUCAUUGCCACUGAGUUUAAUAGGGCUUGCACAAUAUUGUAAGUAUCUUUUAAAUAGUCUAAUUGCUAUUUGUGUUCCCACUCAUGCUUGAAAGCUUUUUUUACUAGAGGGGAAAACUUCCAUUUUCCAAAUGACUCAUUUGCAAUGAAAACUGAAAAAAACCCCAACCCUGUUUGCAAUGAAAUUGAGUAACAGGGGAAGGCAUUUUUACGUGAUGCACAGUAUAUCAGUUGGGCAUUUUGAGUAGCUGUUUUAAGGUUCAGCACCAUAUUGCUCAUGGACACUGGGCCUGUCGAUCAUAGCCAGCCCAGUAGCUGAAGAAGGAGUGUUUCUAACCCUUGUUUUUAAAAAUAACCCUUUAUAUUGGACCUUCACAUAACCGAAGCAGCUUUUUUGCUGAGGAAAAAUGAUGCCUUGGAUAAGUGCAGGUGCAGUGGGGGCUGGUACAGCACAAGCCAUUGUGGUGCAAGCUCUCCACUCCCUGGCACAGAGGACUCCAGCCCAACACAGAGCACAUGGGGCUGCAUGUUCUUACACCCCCUUUAGCCCUUCUGCUGAGACCACCCAUGCUGCUGCCACCUGAGAGAUGAGUUUUGGGAACUCAUCUAGGAAAGCAGCAGGCACCCAGGCUUUAAUGAAGCCGGUGAAGCACCCCGGCACCAGCACCAUCAGGCAACCAACCCAGCAUUGCUGGAGACCUGACACGAGAGGGGACAGUCACUUCCGCUGCUUCCACCCAGCAUUUCACUAACCUCUAAGCACCCUCUCCCCAACAGACUAAAUGCUGUACAGUUUAUUCUGGGGGCUACUGUUUACAGAUCAGCCAAAGAUGGGAGGUUUCCCCUCUGGUGGCAGAGGAGCGAGAGAAGAGAAAGAGAUACGGACUAUUGGUCCACUUACAUCAUUGGGAAUAGUAAGUUCAUGGGAACUGGUUGGAGUAGUGGCAUCCAGUCCUAUUCAGGGGACAGAGGGAAAAUGUUACGCCAGCUGUUUGCAAGAAGGGCAAGACACAACAAAUGAAAUUUUAAAGAAGAAAACAUACAGAAGGCAGGAGAGAAAAAAAAAAGAGA
Pipra filicauda (Wire-tailed manakin) is the source of this 1711-nucleotide long non-coding RNA. RefSeq lists it as uncharacterized. The transcript has 3 exons. NCBI's taxonomy places the organism in Eukaryota, Metazoa, Chordata, Aves, Passeriformes, Pipridae. The record is from RefSeq and is a predicted model, not a curated record.